Molecule: ribosomal RNA, 488 nt
Filed under: uncultured bacterium
Lineage: Bacteria
Description: bacterial SSU rRNA
Rfam family: Bacterial small subunit ribosomal RNA
Source: RNAcentral
UGAACGCUGGCGGCGUGCCUAACACAUGCAAGUCGAGCGAGAUACGCUCAAACAGAGAUUCGUCAACGGGAGAGCGUGGACAGCGGCGGACGGGUGAGUAACGCGUAGGUAACCUGCCUUAGGCUGAGGGAUAGCCCGGGGAAACCUGGAUUAAUACCACAUAAUGCGGAGGAGUCACAUGGCUCUUUCGCCAAAGAUUUAUCGGCCUAAGAUGGACCUGCGUCUGAUUAGAUAGUUGGUGAGGUAACGGCCCACCAAGUCAACGAUCAGUAGCCGACCUGAGAGGGUGAUCGGCCACAUUGGAACUGAGACACGGUCCAAACUCCUACGGGAGGCAGCAGUGGGGAAUAUUGCACAAUGGGGGAAACCCUGAUGCAGCAACGCCGCGUGAGCGAAGAAGGUCUUCGGAUUGUAAAGCUCUGUCCUUGGGGACGAACGAUGACGGUACCCAAGGAGGAAGCCCCGGCUAACUACGUGCCAGCCGCCGC